This 587-nucleotide ribosomal RNA is filed under the name uncultured bacterium. RNAcentral's name for it is "partial 16S rRNA". The stretch from base 1 to 443 matches the Rfam family "Bacterial small subunit ribosomal RNA", at positions 102 to 539 of the family's 1533-position model. The record is from RNAcentral.
ACGGGUGAGGAAUGCAUGGGUAACCUACCCUCGAGUGGGGAAUAACUAGCCGAAAGGUUAGCUAAUACCGCGUACGACUCCCGGACUGCGGUUCGGGAGGGAAAGCGAUACCGUGGGUAUCGCGCUCUUGGAUGGGCUCAUGCCCUAUCAGCUUGUUGGUGAGGUAACGGCUCACCAAGGCAUCGACGGGUAGCUGAUCUGAGAGGAUGAUCAGCCACACUGGCACUGCGACACGGGCCAGACUCCUACGGGAGGCAGCAGUAAGGAAUAUUGCGCAAUGGGCGAAAGCCUGACGCAGCGACGCCGCGUGGGGGAUGAAGGUCUUCGGAUUGUAAACCCCUUUCGGGAGGGAAGAUGGGAUGGGGUAACCCAUCCGGACGGUACCUCCAGAAGCAGCCACGGCUAACUUCGUGCCAGCAGCCGCGGUAAUACGAAGGGUGGGCCAAGGCGGUUUGGUUUCGGGAUUUUUAACCUGGGGGGCCGGGUAUACCAAGGGGGGGAAGAGCCGGGUUAAAGGGGCCCGGGGGGUUUUGGGGGGAAAUAUAAAAAACCCCCCCUCCUCUCCCCCCGUGGUGAAAAAAAAUAUU